GUUAACAAAAAAUAGUAGUAUUUAAAUUUGAGUAGUUUAAGUUAAAACAUUACUCUUUCAUCGUAAAAUUAAAUUUUUCUCAA
RNAcentral lists this transfer RNA (83 nucleotides) under Platerodrilus sp. UPOL VP2302. Its description in RNAcentral is "partial tRNA-Glu". Lineage: Eukaryota; Metazoa; Arthropoda; Insecta; Coleoptera; Lycidae. The record is from RNAcentral.